GUUUCCCGCAGACCCGGAAACGGAGCUAAGGACACCCUCCAGUGGGUCAGUGUCAGCUUUUCUGAUUCAACACUGGUGUUUGCGAUACACCUGCCCGUCCCCGGCCUCCGAUCCGCAACACCCGCAGUUCGGGGGUCACCACGUACGAUAAAACCCCCUUCAGGCGCUUGUGCUGCGCCCGAUGAUUCUCGGCAGGACCGUCAGAUAUUCCAGGCCUGGGAGCCCCACUGCGGGUUCGGGGGUCGACGACUAUUUCGAGUUAAAGUCUCUGAGGCGCGUCCCCGCCCCCGGCCGUCCGCCUUCGGUCCAGGAUUGAAUUCCCAAGCCUGAUCCUGCCUGAGGAAGAAUCCUGGAAAGGGAGGAAGAGCAAAGGAAAGGAGUCGGGAAUGGCCGUCUGUCAGGUGAAGUCAUAUCCUGGGUCGAUUUCCUGUCUCUCAUUCCUGCAAGGCCCUUCUUGGACUUGCCAACCUUGUCUGAGUCUGAAGUGUUUGUCCACACUCCCCCAGGCCUUCCCCAGUCCCUCUCCUCUGCACUUAGAUUCCAGCUCGUAGUGACCCAGGGAUCGGAGCCUGUGAGGGGGCUGCACUGGGCACAUCCUGAGGGGCUUCGCAGCAGGCGAGUGGAGACGGGUGGUGUCAGUGUGGCUGGGCUGCAGGGGGUGUUUAGGGGCCGCCUCUGGACACACAGUAGGCUCUCUGUCGACCAGGAUGAAAGAAGCCGUGUGUGGAAGUCCUGGAUUCAUGUGUAGGAAGAGUUGGAAGAUUCUGGAAAAGAAGAGUGGUAAGAAGAAAGCAGCUCUGCCUGACCUUGUAAUGCAUUCAGAGCUAAACAAGUGCACCAUGGUGUUUCUGGUUCCAAACUACUAAUUUAGAAUCAAGUUCAGACAUCAGCAUCCGUGAUAGUGGAUGUUUUAUUCCAUAGUUGGUUUUACAGUGUGGAGUCAACCUAAUCAAUGGUAAAGGUUUUAAAAAAAUCAUUCUCAGCACAUCUGUCCCACAGAGACCAUGGCGUUCCUACAGCAGCUCUUGUGAGGCAGAUGUUUUAGAUGAAAAUGGUGUUAAUUUAGCCCAGAUCUGGAGCAUAGAACUUUAUCUUCACCAUCAGAGGGGCUGUAGCCAUCUGGUUCCACCAUUAUUUUUAAGUAUUUUAUCUCAUUGACCUUAGACAUCACAUGAGUGAGUGACAUGUAUUGAUUGGUUGAUUGAAUAAGCUCCAGACCAAGAAGCAACUUAGGCACGAAGAUGUAGUCAGAAGGGGAUGCUCUUCCCUGUCACUUCCCCACCCUUCAUGUCUCAACAGGGAACCGAUGUUGUCAGUUCUGUGGCAGGAGUCAGUUCAAACCUGAUACAAACGCAUUUAACACUGGUAUAAAAUUUUAGGAAAUCUCGAUGAAGUUUGUCGUAACAUUUUAUUAUGCAAAUUAGAAAAAUUUACACAGCACGUCUAGACACUGUUUUCAUGUUAAUCAACACAAUCAGACACAGCUUGCUCAUUCAGAGCCUCAUUGGAUCAUUUUCUUAAUGGGGACACACGGGGACCUUUGCCAUUUUUCGCUGAUGUAAAGAAUGACACGGUGGCUGUGUAGGAGUAGGCCGGCCUCUCUGCAGAUGUCUCAGGAUUUCUCUGGGUCAGGCAACUCAACGUGUGAUUACUGGGUUAAGGACAGUGCAUUUCACAUUAGGAUAGAUUCUGUCCGAUAUGGUCUCCUAAAGCUACGAAGUACCCCAUCCCACAACAACACGAGACUUCCCCCCUGACGUAGGCAAAAUUGGUACUGUAAUCUCUUUGUGUUUGAAAAUUGGGGAGAAAUUGACAAUCCGUUGUAUUUCCAUUUUCCACCUACUUGUAACUUUCAUUAGUUUUGUGGGAAUAAAACCUGGAUUUUCAUACUUUGCUGUUCUCCUUUGAUAUAUUUUUAAGGGCUAUUUUAUGGCUUAAUUCUUUACACACAGCCUUGUGUCUUUAUUUUAUCAGUGUUUUGCAGUGAAAUGUUAAUCUUUCCUUCUUGCCCUCUACUUUCGGAUCUUUCUUAGGCAGAUCUGAGCUAGCAUAAUCUCAAGGUAUUAUGUUCCGUUUAGUACUCUUUUCUUAAAAUUAUCUCCUUAAAUUGGCUUUUUGUAUAUAUCUGGUAGUUAUUUAUUUCAUUGAUUGUAAAGUUUCAUGUAACACACACACAUUAAUAGGUUCAUGUGUUCUUUGGCAAAUCUCUCCAUUUAAUUUUUCUUUUCAAAAUUAUUUUUCCUCAGCACAAUGGCCACUGUUUCAUUUUUUUAAAUCCCACAUUUCUUUUGCAUUUGAAUUGCUCUGAGUUUCUAAAUCACUGAGGUCUUUAUGUCACCACACCUCCAGUAAGAAUUAGGUUUGGGGGUGCCUGGGUGGCUCAGUCAGCUGAGCAUCUGCCUUUGGCUCAGGUCAUGAUCUUGUGGUUCAUGAGUUCGAGACCCAUGUUGGGCUCUUUGCUGACAGCUUGGAGCCUGGAGUCUGCUUCAGAUUCCAUGUCUCCUUCUCUCUCUGCCCCUCUACUGCUCGUGUUCUCUCUCUCUCAAAAAUAAAAAAAAACAUUAAAAAAAUUAAAAAACAAAAAGAAUUAGGUUUGUCAGUUUUUGGUCAUGUCUUUGUUAUGUCCUUCACAUAGGCUGGGAAAUGUCUUGCAAAUAGGUUCCUCAGUGCAACUUCUAAUGGGAAUGAGUGUUUCCCCCCAGCUGGGCCCAGCUUAGGCAUCCAGAGCAGCGGUGAAUGGCAGGAGCCUGGCUGGCCCACCUACCUCAGCCUCGCCUUUGGUGGAAAUGUUUCCAGUGCUUACUGUGGAUUGUGAUGCUUGGUGGAAAGUUCUUCCUCAAUAAAAACGUUUCAGAUGUCCUGUUUGAUCCACUAGAUGUGUAGAACUGUCACUCAGGAGAAGGUCAGGUGUACGGCGUACGGCAUCCAUAUAAUCAACCGCGAGUUGG
Long non-coding RNA from Acinonyx jubatus (cheetah), 2948 nucleotides. RefSeq lists it as uncharacterized. The record is from RefSeq and is a predicted model, not a curated record. The transcript has 3 exons. Lineage: Eukaryota; Metazoa; Chordata; Mammalia; Carnivora; Felidae.